Molecule: long non-coding RNA, 7318 nt
Organism: Equus caballus (horse)
Lineage: Eukaryota; Metazoa; Chordata; Mammalia; Perissodactyla; Equidae
Source: Ensembl
GCCCACAGACUAACCAUCAGCAGUCCCCUCCCCAGGGCUGCUGGGCACAGACCGUGAUGUGGGCAUCCCGGGCUUGACCCUCCCUGGCUUCAGAAACAAGCCAAAGAAUGAGGUUUCUGCAGGAAAAACUCACGUUCCAGCCAGCAGCGCCCGCUCCAUUUCUGAUGGCAGUUGGUGGCAGUUAAUGUUCUGAAUCUCUGAUGCUGGCUCCUCCUCCUGGGUUCCGCCCACAGAAAAUGAAGGAGCAACCCAAGCUUUUCUCUCAGGACAUAAAGCAGAUCGACCUAGAUGUGACCUAUACCUUCUGAAACCACAUCAUGUUCUGGGACCGAUGGGCCUGGAGUGAGUGCCCCUGCUGCCCAGGCCCCUCUUCACCUUUCCCAGCACUGAGAUGCUCCCUUAAGAGGAUGGGCUGGCCCUCCCUGGCCCACUCACCCAGCACGAGCAGCUGGGACCCUCGCCCAACCAGGCUGUCCCUGAGGCCUGGGAGCAGCAGCAUGAGGGGACCUCCACAAGGCCCACAGCUGCAAACCACUCUCUGGGACCCUGAGACUCUGGGUCUGGCCUGCCUGGCCCCAGCCCAGGACAGCUCUUGGGACUGGCUGUAGCCAUGACGACAGAAUUCCCUCCCAAACCUCCCAUGAGCCAGGAGGCAGCAGGCAGUUGGCCCCCAGACAUCAGCUUUGAGCUGGAACACUGGGUCCCUUUCCCUUCAACAUUUGCCUGGGCCACCCCCAGGGCCACACGACAGGACCAGCCCUGCCACCCAUUGGGACCCCUAUCACUGGGAUCCCUGCCCAGCCUGCUGAAGACUGAGCCAUAAGACCCAGGACACCCCUCCUGCCCUGUGGCACCUACAGCCUAUGACCCUCUCAGGACAGUGACUGUCAUGGCCAAGACAGAGCCACAGCAGGACCGGGCAACCUGCCUAGAGGUCCCAAACGUCCACACCCCCCUGACCUCGAUGUCUACAGGGAAUCUGGACACUGAGGGUCCUCCAGAGGGGAGAGUGAUCACAAGCAAGGGGGCCCCGAGGCCCCAGCCAGCCAGCAGGAUGCCCUGCCUCUUCAAGCCAGCCUUCCUGGCAGAUGGUGCCCUCUCACACAGAACAAGUCCCUGACCCAGAGGGGCCUGGCCUGAACCCAGGCACUGGGAGGGCAGGGGCACCAUGAGCGCCCGCACAGCUAGGAUGAGGACUGAGGGGACUGAGCCCCCUGUGGUGCUGGCCAGUCCUGGAUUCUGGCCUAAGGCAAGGUGAGCCCUCCAGAGCAGUAUGUGACUACCUGAAGCCUGGGCACGCCCCACAAGGCCACAUUGGUGACGUGAAGCAGCUCUGGGAGCAGCAGGACACCCCAGCGAAGGGGUGGCAGGGAAAGGAGUACCAGCCCCAUCCUCAUGCCCACAAGUGGGCAGGGUCGGCCAGACGCCAGGGCCCUGAGCAGCCACCUGGCACCCAUGGGGCAGAACCCCAAGGCCGAGCAGACAGCCUGGGGCCCUGCUCCGAGAACCCAAGGGCUGCUGCUCCAGGUCGGGCUGGAGGACGCUGGCUGGGUACACCUAAGAGGCCAGCCCCUCACUGUGCUGUCAUAGUUGGCAACUGCCUUUCAGGGUCCCCAAAACACAGGAAAUGCGGCCCCACUCAAGUCAGAAGGAGGCUCCACGGUGGCGCACACUAGCCCCUCCUAGUCUGGUUUCAGAGUUCCCUAAGAAGGCCUCCCUCUCAGGAGGAAUGGAUGCGCCCUUGGCCUCAAUUCCUCCCUUGCUGGCUAAAGGUCAAUAAAGUGUUUUUGUGUUAAAAUGCAAGACCGGCCUGUUCUUACAGUGCCCAGAGCCCUCUGCAGGGAGCACUGGACGCCCCCCACAAGAAGCAGAGGGUGGUGCAGCGCGGACCACCUGACCAGCUCCUGCCCACUGCCCUGGCAGAGGGGCCGCCAGCCAGAUGAAGCUGAAGUUCCUGCCAUGCUUCAUGGCAGGCAACUCACACUGCAGCCUCCCAACCUCCACCAGACGCCAGGGUCAAGACCAUCCAAUGAUUUAAUCUGUGCCCAACCAGCCAGGAUGGGGCUAGGAAGAGAGGAGCAGCUGGGGUGCUGCUGGUGUCGGUUCACGACAAUCUGUGCAAAGUGUUCGUGGGAGGUCUGCGGACACUCUGUCCAUCGACCCUGGGCUGGCCAGGCUCCGGCAGCAUUCCCUCCUUCCUCCGUCUGUGCCUCCUCCCCACAGCCGGCACCUUCAGGCCCUGUGUCUGUGCCCGGCAGGGACUUCAGAGUGAGCUACUGCCGCCUAGUACUACAAGACCACCUUCUCCAGGAAGCCCUCCUGAGUUUCUUCAGACCAUACAUGGUGCUGGACAAGCAUGCACCUGAGGUGCACAGGAAAGCCCUAAGCCAAUCAGAGCCAAGGGAUGCAGAGCCGGAAGGAUGUGCAGAGAGGGUGGGCAUAAGCCAAUGCUGAGCUUAAAGGAGGGGUCCUCCACUUGCUUUGGUGGCAUGCUUGGGUGUUAGCAGAGAAAGAAAGCCUGGGCAAGUGCCCCACAGCAAGACCAGGGAGAAGGGGGUAACAGGUGGGUCCCAUCCACCCGGCAAAUACAGGACAUCCACCUGCUUCAACCAGGCUUUGCAAAGAAGGGGGAAAGGAAGCGUGGGAAGGAGAUCCAGGCCCAGGCAGGCUCCCGAGUCUGACAGCUGCUCUAGUAGUUGCUUUAGGCUGAGAAGGGCUUGAGCGAGCUGGGCGGCUGGGGCAGUGGGCAGCACCUGAGAAGCUGCGCCAACAGUGAGCCCGACUCAAAGGCCCUCAAAACGCCCAGCAAAAGAAUGAGAGCCUCCUCCAGUUCCAGAUUGACACGCAAAGGGCCUGAAGUUCCAAUCCCAGCUCAGCCACAUGCAUUUGGACCCCAACUCACCCGCUAUUAGGGGUGUGAUUUGAACCAAGUACUCAGUGUCUCUGUGCCUCAGUUUAUUUCUCUUUAAAGGGGAGGCACUCCUGCUUACACAUCUGAACUAUCCAGUAGACUCAGUCAGGAAAGAACCAGACACGUGGCAAGCACUCAACAAAGGUGCGUACCCUAUUUCUGCAGGCUGAGUUUGGGGAGCUGCUGCCCCUUUGGGGCCUGCAGAAAGGGUAAGGGUAGUGUUGAGUCGACAGACAAAACAAGAGAUGGGAAGUCCCCAGGUCACAUGCUUGGAUGUCCACAUAAUAGAGCUGCAGCCUCAAAAGAAGAGAGCAUCUCAUCACCAGAAGCAACCAAGUACCUGGCAGGGAUGCCUCUAAGGACCCUUGAUCCCCUCUGGGAACUGCCAUGCAAGCCACCCUUGUCCAGCACCUGCUGGAAGUCACAUGUACCACAACCACCCUCCUGGCUGGUCUGGCCCUUCUCUAAAUGCCCCAGAAAGUCUCCUGUCCUGUAGCCCUCAUCUUAGCAAGGGUUCCCGGGAUCCAGCCUAAAUCCAGUCCCACGAACUACCUCUGAAAAGUCCACAGGUAGCUUUUCUUGGUAGGGAGCUUGAGGUGGGGGGACAAUAGUGACACCACUGGGAGGUUAGAUGUGCAACAGGCUGAGGGUUUGCAACACAAUCCGUAUGCAAGCUCUCGUGGUCACUUUCCUCCGUGUGAGUCAACAGCUGUGAACUGCAGUGGAAGCCACAGCCACAGACUUCAUCAGGACUCCUGGCAUCUCUCCACAUGCCAGGUCCCCCGCCCUCACUUGUCCAUGCCCCUUCCUCUGCCCACACUGUCCCCGGGGGCCCCCUCUCUGAAGUGCUCCAGCCUCAUUAAUUAUUCAGCCAUUUCCUCAGUUCAGAGGCCCAGGGGCCAGAGGGUUGGCAGAGUGUGUGCUCUUUCAUGUCCCAGGUUGUGCAGGGAAUGCAGAAAUGCUGGGCUGGUGUCCAGGAUGCACCCUGGAGGCCCUCAGUCCUGGGUGCGGGGGAGCCCUCAUGCUUUAUGCUCCGGGACCCACCCCUCACAGCGCUGCCCCUGGGAUGACCCCACAGGGGCUUUUACCCCCACCCUGGGGAGCCACGACUGGAGCCACAAGCCCCCAUCCCUGCUUCUAAGUGCAGACCCGGGAGUUGAUCCCAGCAUCGGAGUCCAAGCGCCAGCUCUUUACAAGAAGCAAGUGGCAAGACUUGACUGUUCUGUAAGUAGCACAUGAGUCACCUGAGAAUGAGCUGGGGGCUGGAGGCAGCGUAAAAGCCUUAGCAAACCCCUGGGCAGAGGGAGGAAGACCCCUCCUAAAGCGGUGCCGAAUCUGAAGCCCACCCGAGAACCAGCUCCAGCGGUUGUGCCAUGACCCCCGCUUUGGUGGGCUGCGCAGGAGGAUCAAAACUGGAAUCUUUUAUGCACGUCUACAGCUGCCCUGAAUCUAGUGUCGGAUUCCUAAGCCAGGCCAAGGAGAUGGAGAGGGCCUGCCCACCCCCUAAACCCUACAGGCAGGUGGAGAGUUAACAGGAGUGCCUCCCAUUGCCUAAGACGGAGGAAGACGGAGGGGGAGAUAGCACCCAGCAGGGACAGUUUCCAUCUCCCGGCCCCUGUGCCUGCACUGCAGGAUCAGGCCUGCAGAGCAACCGUGAAGUGAGUCUUGGUCUCCGCCCCACAACGUCCCACUGCAGAAACAAGCAAAGGGGACAUGAAAGGAGAAGUCUCCGGUGAGGCCGCCAAAGGCUGAGUGGGAGGGACAGCAGGAUGCCAGGGACAGCUGCCCACUAUGGGUUCCAAAGAGUAGCUGUCCUCACGGAAAUCUGAGGAUCCUCGUUUAGCACCCAAAAAACCUAGGACCUGAUGAGGGGACCAGACAUUGACUCCUACAACCCAGGCUGCUUUAUCAAAACCUGACUUCCAGGCCCACAUUCCUUCCCCGUGCUCUCUGCUGUGGUUCCCAAGGAAGGGACCAGCCUUAGGAUGGAGUAAGAGCUCUAGACCCUGGCCAGAAGAGAUAAGACCGGCCUGCCUAAGACAUCGUGGAGGUCCCGGCUGGAGGGCCUGGAGAUCUGGAGUCUUCCAAGAAACAGGUGCUGCAGGUCCUGCCCUGGGCCUUCCCAAUGACCCCAGCCUCUGAGCUCCAGGAACCCUGCAUUUAAUAGUACACCUUAUUCAGAAAUAACAUGAUCAGCUCAGCCCAGUCUGGCCCUCGUUCCCGCCUUCCGGGUCGAGUCAUGCACCCCUCACUCACACUGUUCCCUUAUCUCUGCUCCUCUUCUCCUACUCACAGCCUCAUGGUCUUCAGGAAUCAGCUCAGGUCCCACGUGGUCCAAAAAGCCGUUCCUUCUGCUUCAACCCCUGUUGAUUCAUCCCUUUCCAUCAGCCCAAAACACGUAUUGACCAUAUACAAUUUGGCACCUCAUUAAAUCCUCCUCUUAUACCUUUCUCUCAUUAUAUAUAUAUAUAUAUAUCCAUAUAUAUAUCCCCAGCUAGGCUUACAGGCGGGAGCCAUAUCUUUCUCUUCUCUGAGAUUCCCCAGUGCACACCCUGAACCCCUUCACAUGGCUGUUCCUCCAGGUUGGGCUUCCACCCUCUGCCCAGCCCACUGCAAUCACCUGGUGGCUGCUGAAAUACAUCCUGUGCAACUUGCCAAACUAACCUUCCUCAAGCACCAGGCUGAUCAUGGCACCCCCAGGUCAGAACCGCUCAAAGGCUCCCCACUGAUUGUUCAGUGAAGCGCAAACUCCUUUGCUUGGCAUUCAAGAUCCUCCAUGACUGGGCUCAGGCGCCAUCCAAGGUUUCUCUACCGUCCCUCUCCUAUGUACACUCCAUGCUUCAGUUAACUCAAUACUUGGCCAGUUCCCAAAUACAAUACAAUUUCUCAUCUUGCUGCUCUGGCUCGUGCCAUUUCUGCCACUUGGAACACCCUUCCCUCCCACUGCCAUUUGUGGAAUUCCUACCCAUUGUUCAGGGUUCAGCUCAAAUACCAACUGUCCCUCCUCAGGGCCACACCAAGAGGAGGCCGCUGCCACCUCUGAACCCAUGCAAAAUGGUACCCCCAUGGGGGUAUUUAUUCGCCUCCUAUCACAGAGCCUCCCUAUGCACUUGUUUCUUCUCCUCUGUGAGUGUAAACGGCUGGACAAGGGCCGUCCUGCAUCUCUACAACCCAGCAAAAGGACAUUACCAAGUCUUUCUUGUUUUCUCACAUUUCCAAUCUUUUCUGAAAGAGAUUCUAAAACUCUAGGUAUGGAUUUAGCUACUGUGAAAAGCACAGUGCCACCAGAUUCAGGAUGAAUGUCCCCUUGGCUGUGGUCAGUGGGGAUGCCUCUCAGAUGCUGGCUCCAAAACCCAAUCCAGACAAGGACUUUGACGCAGGUCAGCAAUGGGCCAUAGAGGGAUGGUCACUCAUCCAGCCUUUGAAGCCCUCUGGGGUUCCCGUUCAUGGGACUCCAGAUUUGGGGGAGAUGUGGGAUUCCUAGGCCUGCCUGCCAGCAUUCUUUGGACUCUGGAGCUCAGGGUGUCUAAGAGAAGGGGGUGCAGAGGUUACAUCAGUGCCCAUGUGGUUGUUCAGGGCCAUAUGUUCUUAAUGAGAAUCUCCCAAGCCAGGGAGGCCAGUGUACAGCAGGAUCCAUGAGACCCUUAACAAACCUUCCACCCUCCCUCUGCCAAGUUUCAGUUACCCCCCCACCACCACUUAUGCCUACAAUCCUUGUCUUUCCCCACCCUACACACAUACACACACACCUCUAUAACCUGUUCUGGACAGCCCACCCAACCUGACGUGGGCUGGAUGGGCAGGUCCAUACAGAACAUGGAACAAUCAAGAACACUGAACCAGGGGUCCAAAGGCCUGGGCAAGUGAGAGCCACUUCUCCCAAGCUCAGUUUCCUUGCCUAGAGUGUGUGCACCAUCAAUAGUACUGAUCACAGACACCCUGCAAAGGACUAUGCAUUCAUCAUCUGGCCUGACAACAAGGGAAUGGACGCUGCCCCAGGCACUGGGACACCUGAGCUGCAGUCCCCGUUAUGCCUUCCUACCCUCAUGUCCUGUGUGUCCCUGACUGUCUGAAGUCCCAGUCUGCCUCCAAGGGUGGUUUGAGAACCAAAUGAAGGUGUGACUGUGAAGGUGCAGAAUGGCCAGGGGGACAGAAUGGACGACCUUGGGAGCCACAGCGGGAGGAGGGACAGAAGUCUUGCCUGGGCCUAGCCUCCAGUGGGACAUCACAGAGCCCUGGCUGGCUGGGCCAGGCUUCUCCCAAGGGCCUGGGGCCACCUGCACCAUCUCUCUGAUCACAGCAGGUUUGUAGCUGUCUCCGUUUGGGCUGGAAAUGGUAGGCUUUUUGUAGUUUUGAGUUUAAGAUCUUCAGACCCCUCCCUCUGCUCUUUUCCUUAUUAAAGUUUCC